UACGUAGGGUGCAAGCGUUAAUCGGAAUUACUGGGCGUAAAGCGUGCGCAGGCGGUUUUUUAAGUCAGAUGUGAAAUCCCCGGGCUUAACCUGGGAACUGCGUUUGAAACUGCAAGGCUAGAGUGUGGCAGAGGGGGGUGGAAUUCCACGUGUAGCAGUGAAAUGCGUAGAGAUGUGGAGGAACACCGAUGGCGAAGGCAGCCCCCUGGGUUAACACUGACGCUCAGGCACGAAAGCGUGGGGAGCAAACAGG
This 253-nucleotide ribosomal RNA is filed under the name uncultured bacterium. RNAcentral's name for it is "partial 16S ribosomal RNA". It matches the Rfam family "Bacterial small subunit ribosomal RNA", at positions 524 to 776 of the family's 1533-position model. The record is from RNAcentral.